RNAcentral lists this ribosomal RNA (252 nucleotides) under uncultured bacterium. Its description in RNAcentral is "partial 16S ribosomal RNA". It matches the Rfam family "Bacterial small subunit ribosomal RNA", at positions 524 to 776 of the family's 1533-position model. The record is from RNAcentral.
UACGUAGGGUGCAAGCGUUGUCCGGAAUUAUUGGGCGUAAAGAGCGUGUAGGCGGCCCGAUUAGUCCGCUGUGAAAGUCCAGGGCUCAACCCUGGAAUGCCGGUGGAUACUGUCGGGCUAGAGUCCGGAAGGGGCGAGUGGAAUUCCUGGUGUAGCGGUGAAAUGCGCAGAUAUCAGGAGGAACACCAAUGGCGAAGGCAGCUCGCUGGGACGUGACUGACGCUGAGACGCGAAAGCGUGGGAGCAAACAGG